GACGAACGCUGGCGGCGUGCUUAACACAUGCAAGUCGAACGGAAAGGCCCUGCUUUUGUGGUGUGCUCGAGUGGCGAACGGGUGAGUAACACGUGAGUAACCUGCUCUUGACUUUGGGAUAACUUCAGGAAACUGGGGCUAAUACCGGAUAGGAGCUCCUGCUGCAUGGUGGGGGUUGGAAAGUUUCGGCGGUUGGGGAUGGACUCGCGGCUUAUCAGCUUGUUGGUGGGGUAGUGGCUUACCAAGGGUUUGACGGGUAGCCGGCCUGAGAGGGUGACCGGCCACAUUGGGACUGAGAUACGGCCCAGACUCCUACGGGAGGCAGCAGUGGGGAAUAUUGCACAAUGGGCGGAAGCCUGAUGCAGCAACGCCGCGUGCGGGAUGACGGCCUUCGGGUUGUAAACCGCUUUCGCCUGUGACGAAGCGUGAGUGACGGUAAUGGGUAAAGAAGCACCGGCUAACUACGUG
RNAcentral lists this ribosomal RNA (468 nucleotides) under uncultured bacterium. Its description in RNAcentral is "partial 16S ribosomal RNA". It matches the Rfam family "Bacterial small subunit ribosomal RNA", at positions 28 to 507 of the family's 1533-position model. The record is from RNAcentral.